This 1446-nucleotide ribosomal RNA is filed under the name uncultured organism. Its description in RNAcentral is "SSU rRNA". It matches the Rfam family "Bacterial small subunit ribosomal RNA". The record is from RNAcentral.
UUUUUACAGGCUUAACACAUGCAAGUCGAGGGGCAGCAUGGUCUUAGCUUGCUAAGGCCGAUGGCGACCGGCGCACGGGUGAGUAACGCGUAUCCAACCUGCCUUACACUCUUGGACAGCCUUCUGAAAGGGAGAUUAAUACAAGAUGUUAUCAUGAGUAAGCAUUUUCGCAUGAUUAAAGGUUUACCGGUGUAAGAUGGGGAUGCGUUCCAUUAGAUAGUAGGCGGGGUAACGGUCCACCUAGUCUUCGAUGGAUAGGGGUUCUGAGAGGAAGGUCCCCCACAUUGGAACUGAGACACGGUCCAAACUCCUACGGGAGGCAGCAGUGAGGAAUAUUGGUCAAUGGACGAGAGUCUGAACCAGCCAAGUAGCGUGAAGGAUGAAGGUUCUAUGGAUUGUAAACUUCUUUUAUACGGGAAUAAACGAAUCCACGUGUGGAUUUUUGCAUGUACCGUAUGAAUAAGGAUCGGCUAACUCCGUGCCAGCAGCCGCGGUAAUACGGAGGAUCCGAGCGUUAUCCGGAUUUAUUGGGUUUAAAGGGAGCGUAGAUGGGUUGUUAAGUCAGUUGUGAAAGUUUGCGGCUCAACCGUAAAAUUGCAAUUGAUACUGGCAGUCUUGAGUACAGUUGAGGUAGGCGGAAUUCGUGGUGUAGCGGUGAAAUGCUUAGAUAUCACGAAGAACUCCGAUUGCGAAGGCAGCUUACUAACCUGUAACUGACAUUGAUGCUCGAAAGUGUGGGUAUCAAACAGGAUUAGAUACCCUGGUAGUCCACACGGUAAACGAUGAAUACUCGCUGUAGGCGAUAUACAGUCUGCGGCCAAGCGAAAGCAUUAAGUAUUCCACCUGGGGAGUACGCCGGCAACGGUGAAACUCAAAGGAAUUGACGGGGGCCCGCACAAGCGGAGGAACAUGUGGUUUAAUUCGAUGAUACGCGAGGAACCUUACCCGGGCUUAAAUUGCAACCGAAUAUGGCGGAAACGCUAUAGCUAGCAAUAGCGGUUGUGAAGGUGCUGCAUGGUUGUCGUCAGCUCGUGCCGUGAGGUGUCGGCUUAAGUGCCAUAACGAGCGCAACCCUUGCCGAUAGUUACUAACAGGUCAUGCUGAGGACUCUGUCGGGACUGCCAUCGUAAGAUGUGAGGAAGGUGGGGAUGACGUCAAAUCAGCACGGCCCUUACGUCCGGGGCUACACACGUGUUACAAUGGGGGGUACAGAGGGCUGCUACCACGCAAGUGGAUGCCAAUCCCAAAAACCUCUCUCAGUUCGGAUUGAAGUCUGCAACCCGACUUCAUGAAGCUGGAUUCGCUAGUAAUCGCGCAUCAGCCACGGCGCGGUGAAUACGUUCCCGGGCCUUGUACACACCGCCCGUCAAGCCAUGGGAGCCGGGGGUACCUGAAGUGCGUAACCGCAAGGAGCGCCCUAGGGUAAAACUGGUGACUGGGGCUAAG